Molecule: long non-coding RNA, 485 nt
Organism: Varanus komodoensis (Komodo dragon)
Lineage: Eukaryota; Metazoa; Chordata; Lepidosauria; Squamata; Varanidae
Exons: 3
Source: RefSeq, a predicted model, not a curated record
GACCUAGAGCUUCUCACAAACACCCUCAAAAAGAACGGUCAGAAGCAUCAAGUGAGACUGCACAGACUCAACGCUACAGGACCAAAGGGCACUACAGGGACGCAAAGCAACCUUUCCACCCUGAGGAGAAAAAUAUUCAUUAAAGAAUAAAAAGAUGGGUGCACAGUGACUUCUGAAUGGCACUGCUAGAACCAAAUGGGCGGUGCUGGUGUAGCUGGCAACAGGAGCGCUGGCAGCAAAUGCUUACCUGUGCCCUGCAUGGUGGUGGUGCCAGCAAAGGCUAUUGCAAUGCACAGCAGCACACAAAUAAAGACCGAGUCCUUCUCGUUUCGAAAGGCCUGCUAUGUCAAGGGAAGUUUUCCGUGGCCUUUAAAGUGACAGGAGAUUGAUCAAAGAAGGGCAGGCAAUGAGAGUCCAGCUCAGUGACAGUCGCUGGAAGAACAGAGCCCAAAUCUUCCACCGGCCUAAAGUCUGCAACCUUCUCA